Long non-coding RNA from Nerophis ophidion (straightnose pipefish), 6730 nucleotides. RefSeq lists it as uncharacterized. The record is from RefSeq and is a predicted model, not a curated record. Lineage: Eukaryota; Metazoa; Chordata; Actinopteri; Syngnathiformes; Syngnathidae. The transcript is spliced from 4 exons.
CAAAUGUCAACCAGCAGUUUUCAGUAAGAAAAUUGUGGUAAAAAGUCGCCACUUACCGGAGAUCAGCUGAGCUUGUGCCGUCCAUACAGCUGGCGUCGACUUCCCUCAGAGACUGACGUCAAGACACCCGUGGACACACCCCUCCGACUAUCAGACAGUAGCUGGGGGGUGUCGUGCCAGCAGGCAGUCCUCGGUUGCCCAGGAAACAGAUGGUGGAUGAAGGGCGCGCAUACAAAAGAGCACAAACCUGUGGCAGCAGCUGGGGAGCGGCUCACUGACUAAUUCAUGCAUGCGCAGUUCCUCACAGCCAUGUACGUGUCUUGUCUUUGUUUCAGUACUUGUGCACAAUAUUUGCUUUUCCAAAGUGGACUGUGCACGCAGCUGUUCUUGACACUCCCAUUUGGGCUUGCAGCAGCUCUGCAGCAGCUCUGCAGCACACGGUAGAGAGGCGAGCUUUUUUUUUUUUUUUUUUACUGCAGAGAACAACACGGGUUGUCGUUUUGUUAGCAGCAUAGAGGUAGGAUAUCGUGUGAGGUCUGGUACAAUUCUCUCGAUGUUGUGGAACGUGUGCAAUCUGGAAAUGACUGCAGGGCCAUUGAUUUGACAACAAUUAAAUAUGCUGCGAGGAUCUGAAGGGGAGCCAACGCCUGCAGACAGGUCAUGUGCACAAUACAACAUAACAUAUUGGUUGCUAUAGAGCAGUGGUUCUCAAAUGGGGGUACGCGUACCCCUGGGGGUACUUGAAGGUAUACCAAGGGGUACGUGAGAUUUUUAAAAAAUAUUCUAAAAAAAGCAACAAUUCAACAAUCCUUUAUAAAUAUAUUUAUUGAAAAAUACUUCAACAAAAUAUGAAUGUAUGUUCAUAAACUGUAAAAUGAAAUGCAACAAUGCAAUAUUCAGUGUUGACAGCUAGAUUUUUUGUGGACAUGUUCCAUAAAUAUUGAUGUUAAAGAUUUAUUUUUUUGUGAAGAAAUGUUUAGAAUUAAGUUCUUGAAUCCAUUACAAUCCCCAAAGAGGGCACUUUAAGUUGAUGAUUACUUCUAUGUGUAGAAAUCUUUAUUUAUAAUUGAAUCACUUGUUUAUUUUUCAACAAGUUUUUAGUUAUUUAUAUAUAUAUUUUUCCAAAUAGUUCAAGAAAGACCACUACAAAUGAGCAAUAUUUUGCACUGAUAUACAAUUUAAUAAAUCAGAAACUGAUGACAUAGUGCUGUAUUUUACAUCUUUAUCUCUUUUUUUUUCACCCAAAAUGCUUUGGUCUUAUUAGGGGGUACUUGAAUUAAAAAAAUGUUCACAGGGGGUACAUCACUGAAAAAAGGUUGAGAACCACUGCUAUAGAGCAAAAGACCAAAAGGCUACCUGAAUUUGAAAAUCUCGCCAAAGGGUUAAAUAAUCUUCUUCAACUUUUAGUGUUUUUUUGUAACUGUUCAAUUCAGAUUUCAUGCUUCUAUUUAAUGACAAAAAAUGUGGAGCUCUGCUUUGUAUAUACAUAAAAAAACACAACUAUCCCAUUGAGAAUAAAGUCGGAGACCAUUAAGAUUGAUAAACAGGCUAAAAUGGGCCCAAAGUAGAAUUUUAUUUUGAGCUCCCGCCAUUACCAAACAUGUCCACUCUUUUUUGUUUAUGUGUACAUUUUCGUACUUUUUUAAAUCAAACAUGAAUUCAAUUUGAUCCAUGUUUUGUACAAACACAAAUUGUAGGGAAAUACAUUGUGUUUGUGUGUGUAUUUUUAUUUCUACCCUUCUUGAGACAUCAACAAGGAAAAGUACCGUCCAUAUGAGGACCGAUGAACAACUUAGGACAUAAAUCAUGGUCCCAAUAAGGAAAACCAUAGCAUCUAAUAGAGAAUGUCUCAUUUUCACCCCUGGUGGUGAGAUCUAUCAAAAUGAGGGUGGUCCCAAAAAGGAAAUAAUUUUCCAAUAAACUGUGUGUCGGUUUUUAAAGUGCUCCCCCUCUGGUUGACAUAUGAAAUAACAAGUGUGUGUAUGAAAUUGAAAAGCGCCCCCUUUGGCCAAAAUUAACAAAAGUAAAAUAAAUAUGUAUAUAGAGACAUACUGUGAUAACUUGAAGUAAAUAUGAUUAAAAACCAAUUACAAACAAAAAUUCAAAAUAUUUUUUGAAUAAAAGCUUCCCUUUUUUAUAUUUGCAUAGUUUGUAUAUAUUAUUAAUGUUGUCAAUACACUUCUUUAUGCAUCUAGAAAGGGAGGUCCUCAAGAGGUAGGCAUUUUUCAGAGGUCUCAAGAAUGUUACAAAUACAAAAAUGUGUGUGUGUGCCAGUUAACAAAUUUACGAUAAUUAAAACAUCUUGGCUGGGAUUCGAACGGAGUGCAGUUAGUUAAUCCCCAGCCAAGCUCUAACACUGUGGACCCCCAGAGAGACUGUAAAUAUUUGGGUAAACUCGCCACAAUAUUUCUAUCACUGACAGAGCUGGAAUAUUUGUGGUAAUAUUUCAUAUAUUAAUUUAUUAGUAGCCCUGUGAUUAGGUGGCGACUUGUCCAGGGUGUACCCCGCCUUCCGCUCGAAUGCAGCUGAGAUAGGCUCCAGCACCCCCGCGACCCCAAAAGGGACAAUCGGUAGGAAAAUGAUGGAUGGGCCUUUAUUAAUAUUUUAUAUUCACGCACAACGAUUGAUCGUGGUGCCCUAAAAAUAAAUAUUACACGUACAUGUUUGCUUCAGUGGUCUUAUACUGUCCAGUGUAUGCAAUUUUGUUUAGUCCAUCUUUAGUACAGCUUUGUUUUGUAUGUCUCUGUCCCGGUAAACUGACGGACACCAGGAUCUCACUUUGGCCUCCGUUGCACUCCUGUGUUGAUGGCAUCGCUUGAACGGCCUCCUCUGUGCUUCUUCAUGGACGGAGCUGCCAUAUCUGCUGACCUGGACCCUCAGAGGACGGAUCAACCUUUUUUUGUGUUUAACUGAAAUGUGGAUUUUGAGAGACCUGGUGUCACAUGACCGUAUUAUAUCCUGUCUUUCAGCAUACACUGUAUGUUUACACAGUCUUACUCACACUGGUUUGAUCAGUGCACCACUUUUUGCAUUAUGAAACAGGCACUGAGGCACUUUUCAGCUAUGUACACUGACCUCCCCCUUGUUGCUAUGGUUACUUACUCUCUUCACCCGGUGGACUUCUAAAUUCCCCAGUAGUCAUUAGUACUUAGUUACGUUAUCAGAAGCACACAUCUCGCACUUUUAAAAGGUGUCAGUAAUUUAGAAUCAUCCAUCUUGAUCAUACUGUACAAGUGUGUUGUGCGCUUGCUCGUGGUGUAGUCGCUGUGUGAGGGGCAUGGAGUGUAUGCAUGUAUUUGGCGUCUUUGCGUGUUUAUGUGCAUGUGUAUUCUUAUACAACGUGCAAGCUCCUUCAGCUGCCGAAUGCGCCAGACUCUGGAAAAAAAAUAUUUACAAAUUAUUAUUUGACAUUUGUUUUGGCCCAGCAACUAUGAACAACUACUACUAAUGACGCUGAAGCAGGGCUAUUCAACUGACGGUCCGGGGGCCAAAUCUGGCCCGGGAAGGACACCAUACCUGCACCCAGGUUCAGUUCAAAACUUGUUACACAAACACUUAUGGUAGUAAAUUCCAAAAAAGUGCCCAUGUUGUAUAGAGGAACUUGGACCACUGUAAACACAUAGGCAGAUCCCCGCAUUGACAUUUUAACCUUGCUGGCAAACACCGAACAUUGGGGUCCAAACUUGCGAUAUACAUAGCUUAGGUGUUCCUCAAGGCAUGACGUUAAGUCCUCUCCUUUUUGGUAGAUACAUUUUUUUCCCGGAAUAUGAUUUAUAUAAUCAAGAGUCGCUGUAGCCUGUUCAUUUCAGAUAUAGUCAGUAGUCAUUUGUUCAACUUCUUUAGUUACACUAGUGGUGUUCCACAAGGAUCCAUUUUAGGUCCUCUGUUUUUCAUAAUUUGCACCAUUCAACUGGUUCAGUUCAAAAAACUUGUGAGAGAUUCUUAAAAAGUGCUGUCAUAGAGAUGAUCUUUGACUAAUUUUUUUUGCCAAAGUCAAUCAAUCAAUAUUUAUUUAUAUAGCCCCAAAUCACAAAUGUCUCAAAGGACUGCAAGUGCCUUGAAUUCUGACCAAAUAAAUAGACCAAAACAAACUGUCUACUAUAGUGGAUGCUGGUUCUUAGGAACACACACAAGUGAAGGAAACAGUCAGGUCUUUAGCUCUCUGAAAAUGCAGUCACCAAAACAAAUUGAAUAAUUAAGUAAUAAAACUAAUACUAACAAUAAUAAUAAAUAUUACGUUGAAUAUCCCUGCCCUAAAUAUAAUUAAGGAUCAUCGUGAAAGAUGACACGCAUGGCACACAUUUUUCUGGUCAUGCUUUAUCAGCAUCAACUGAUUCUUUAACAAAAUCCAACAAAUGCUUAUAAUUAUACAAAUAGAUUUGUACCCAGGUCUGGAUUAUACUAACAUUAAUUUUUCUAACAUUCUGAUAAUCACUAACCUCACUGAUCGCUUAUGGCUGACUAACUCACUCACUGACUAACCCUCUGCUUUAUGGCCGCAGUUGCACAAAACUGUACAGUCUUCUCCGGUGAUCUUGCAAUCCCUCUUCUAGAAAGUAACUAUUCUUAAAACACUAACAUGAGUUAUCAAGAAGGGUUUCAAGAUCUGGGGAGGACAAUCGAACGAGCCGGAAGCCGAAAAGUGACGUAUCAAGCUGGCUUGACCACAUAAAUCCACACAGAUAUUGGAAAAACAAAGUACAAUUCUCCCACACUAGAGCAGGGGUAGGGAACCUAUGGCUCUAGAGCCAGAUGUGGCUCUUUUGAUGACUGCAUCUGGCUCUCGGAUAAAACUGAACUGACAUUGCUUAACAGGAUAAGUAAUGAAUAAUUCCACUUGUAAUCACAGUGUUAAAAACAACGUUCAAAAUAUAAAACAUUCUCAUGCAUUUUUUUGUUCAAGAAGUUGCGUUAAUGGUAAGAAGUAAUUUAUUUAUUAUUGGUUAGUGUUGGGCUUGCCCUCCUGGUUGUUCUUCAGACCACCAAGAGGCUGUUUUAGGGUUACAAUAUUGUUUUAUUUUAGUUUUCUCUCAGUCGCUUUACAGAAAUUGUAUUUUUCUCUUUCGUCCUCACUCGCGCUCUGGCUCCAGCCCCAACCCCGUCUCUCCUCCUGGCUGCUGCUUAUAACAGAGCGACAGGUGAUUAGAUAAAAAGGCCCAGGUGGGCCUCUACGCACCUGUCGCUGAUUUCGAGGCCAGUCCUGGCAACAUCCCGCUUUGCUGCAGGUCAUGCCCCCUCCACAGUUAGCUUCAGAAUAACAAUGUUAUUACAAAUAAUAAGAUUCUUAUUAUACUCUGGAAAUGUUGGUCUUAUUUAAAAAUGCACGCGUUUAGUUGUGUUCAGUGUUAAAAAAAAAUACUAUCUGGCUCUUAGGGAAAUACAUUUUAAAAUAUUUGGCUUCUUGGCUCUCUGAGUCCAAGAGGUUCCCGACCCCUGCACUAGAGGCUAAAAUUAAAGGAACAGAUUUGUGUUGCUUUGUGUGCACAAUGUGGUCAAGCUUUGCAGGUACUGAUUAGUUGCCAAGGGCAACUUUACUAACUAUGCCUUUGAUACUAACAGUCAAAUACUAACAUCUCUGCUAUGCAAAACUCUUCAUAUAUUGCAACCAAAGUGUUGAUCAUCUGACUAAAGCAUGGCCUGUGUUAACUUUUCCAAAAUCAUACAGAGGACUAAUCAUUGGUGCAAUGAACAAGCCACUAACAUUCUUGGAAAUACUAACCAAAAAGUAUUCAAUAACUAACACACUAAUGAACUAACCAACAAACUAACAUGACUAACUGGAAUCCGUAGCAUCCAGAUUUAGACGGGUUGCAUCACGUAUUGAGUGUGCUAACAAAGUUUGAAUGCACUUGUGUUGAAUGUGUGUGGGUGUGCACAUACGGAGGACACUUCCAUGCUGUGUGUUGCCCGGAAGGAUAUUUUGAGUGUUCUAAUUAAGAAUAUGAUGCCAAAUGUUGUCACGUACAAUAACACAAUUAUUUGUUCCAGCCCAGAAUGAUAAACGGCUGAAAAUGUCAGACUAAAAAAGUCGUGGUCUUAAAACAACAAAAGAAGCAAUUAUAUUCUGAAAUUUAAAAAAAACAUCCGCGGAUGUGUGUUCUUGGAGAUCUGCAUCACUUUAGCAAUGGGCCAUCAAAGAAUAAAGAUACAUUUUUGUUGAUAGGUAUCAUAACAAAAACAAUACGACUGAAAAAAAUGCAUAUAUGUUGAUAGUCAAAUUCCGAUGACUGGUAUACAGUCACUAUGAGUCAUUAUUUAUCAGUAGAAAAAACUGCAUUUAGAUUAAAUAAUAGGGAGUCAUAUCUUGGAAUAUGAAAUCCGUUAUAUGAAUUUGUUUUAACGAUUAAAAUUCUUGAAUAAUGACUACAGUGUGGUUUUCGAGUUUGUAAGAUGCAAUGCACUAAGCCACUGUAACUGUUAUUGUUUUUAAUCAAUAAUGGCUGUGAUGGUGAUAGAAAUUAUAAGCGAUGAUAUUAAUCAUACAUAUUGUUUCUGUUAUUGUAAUUAUUAUACUUUUGUUUUUCAAUCACAAUUGUUGAUGUUAUUAUUGUUGUUGCUUUUAUGAUUUAAGUUAGUUAAGUAUUAUACUUGUAUAUUAAUCUUAAUUGCUUUGUACAUUUCUAAGUAAUGUAAAGUUGGGAUUGGAGUUGGCUGUUAUUAGAUUAACAUUUUUUGUGAUUAUUUUGUAAAAAAAAAAAAAAUAAAUGGGGAAAAAACUCUUCUGCAUGAA